Molecule: ribosomal RNA, 439 nt
Filed under: uncultured bacterium
Lineage: Bacteria
Description: partial 16S ribosomal RNA
Rfam family: Bacterial small subunit ribosomal RNA
Source: RNAcentral
CUACGGGGGGCUGCAGUGGGGAAUAUUGCACAAUGGAGGAAACUCUGAUGCAGCAACGCCGCGUGGAGGAUGACACUUUUCGGAGCGUAAACUCCUUUUAUAUAGGAAGAAGAUGACGGUACUAUAUGAAUAAGCGCCGGCUAACUCCGUGCCAGCAGCCGCGGUAAUACGGAGGGCGCGAGCGUUACUCGGAAUCACUGGGCGUAAAGAGCGUGUAGGCGGAUUAAAAAGUCAGAAGUGAAAUCCUAUAGCUUAACUAUAGAACUGCUUCUGAAACUCUUAAUCUAGAAUAGGGGAGAGGUAGAUGGAAUUUCUGGUGUAGGGGUAAAAUCCGUAGAGAUCAGAAGGAAUACCGAUUGCGAAGGCGAUCUACUAGAACAUUAUUGACGCUGAGACGCGAAAGCGUGGGGAGCAAACAGGAUUAGAUACCCGGGUAGUC